CACAUACAAAAAAAAAAAAAAAAAAAAAAAAACACAAAAAAACCCUCCGGCAACAAAACUCAGAAGCCAGCUCUACUUGUAAGAUUUUAAAGUCUCAGGAUAUCUAAGCUUGCUUUCUGCAAGGACAUGUUUUCAAUGACUAAUUAAUUAAUUAAUUAAAAUAAACGGCAGGAAGAGAAAAAUAAGAUAAGCAGUAACAAACUAAAAUAAUAUGGACCUCAAUUGUGAUGUUGCAACACACCCCACCUCCCCCAAUAAAAGCAACACAGUGUACUCGUUACACGAUGCUCCAAAUCUGCACUGUGCUAGGCUCUCCGCAGGGCUCUGGACAAUGCACCCUUAUUCAGACUAUUCCCUGAAUGUGAAAAAGUGCAUUUGAAGCUUAUUUGAAUUUCUUCACGGCAGCGUAAAAGAGACUUAUUUUUGGAGUACUAUGAAGGCCCAAACCAGAAAUUACUGGCAACCGUCACGUUCCCACAAUCUGAACCAGGUAUUCUCCGGACUGUUUUACAAUACAACCAACUAAACAUAAACGGAUAAAACGAAGCGUCCAGGAGGAGCAUGGAAGGCACACCGGCCCUGUUGUUGGCUUUAUAAACUGGGACCCUAACCCCAAUAAUCCAGGGGACAGAGUAAGAGGUCGGCCGGGGCCUGGAAGACUAAACCGUCCAGCCCGAGGUCAAAGGAGAAAAACCCAGCAGGCUGCAGGGCGUCGGGGACGGAGCCCGUGCACCCCGGAAGCCGACCGCAUCCCACUGUUUUCGGCCUGAGACAAAAGAUGGAAAGCAAGGCGCCGCCGCCCCUUUGCGCCCAACCCAGCGAGCCAGCCUUUGGGUCUGGGGUCGCGAUGGCCGCGCGGGCUCCAUCCACAGCACCCUGCGGCCCGCGGGGGCUCCGGCUCCCGGCCUGCCUCCCUGCACACAGGGCGCCGCCCGCCGCGAGGGAAGAUGGCGGCCGCCGAGCAACUGCGCCACCAGCCCUGGCCGCAGGCCAGGCCCAGCGCCAUCUUAGCGCCCUCCGCCCGCCGCCCCCACCCUGAGAAGCCACUGUCGGGGCGACUCGGGAAGGGGGGGGGAGCGCGAAGCCCUCUCGGCUAAAAAAGUUAAAAAUAAGACCAAAGACAAGAACAAAAAAAAAAAAAAUUAAGCAAAAAGCCACUCUCAAAAGCCAC
This is a long non-coding RNA of Alexandromys fortis (reed vole), 1171 nucleotides long. RefSeq lists it as uncharacterized. Lineage: Eukaryota; Metazoa; Chordata; Mammalia; Rodentia; Cricetidae. The record is from RefSeq and is a predicted model, not a curated record. The transcript is spliced from 2 exons.